Molecule: ribosomal RNA, 253 nt
Filed under: uncultured bacterium
Lineage: Bacteria
Description: partial 16S ribosomal RNA
Rfam family: Bacterial small subunit ribosomal RNA
Source: RNAcentral
GACAGAGGUGGCAAGCGUUGUUCGGAUUCAUUGGGUGUAAAGGGUUCGUAGGUGGUCAAGUAAGUCUGACGUGAAAUCCCAUGGCUCAACCGUGGAACUGCGUUGGAAACUGCAUGACUUGAGUACCGCAGAGGUAAAGGGAAUUCCCGGUGUAAGGGUGAAAUCUGUAGAUAUCGGGAGGAACACCAGUGGCGAAGGCGCUUUACUGGGCGGUAACUGACACUGAGGAACGAAAGCAAGGGGAGCAAACAGG